This 1281-nucleotide long non-coding RNA is filed under the name Cyanistes caeruleus (blue tit). RNAcentral describes it as "lncRNA (ENSCCEG00000003673.1)". The record is from RNAcentral. Lineage: Eukaryota; Metazoa; Chordata; Aves; Passeriformes; Paridae.
AUGGUCAAAUCCUGGGAAAUCUGGGGCCAAAUCCCAGGAAAUCCACGGUCAAAUCCCAGAAAAUUUGUGGACAAAUCCUGGGAAAUCUGGGGCCAAAUCCCGGGAAAUCCCUGGGUGAAUCCCGGGAAAUCCCCGGGUGAAUCCCGGGAAAUUCAUGGUCAAAUCCCGGGAAAUCCAUGGUCGAAUCCCGGGAAAUCCGUUGGAAUUCCCAUUCCCGGAGCAGCUCCCGGAUCACCGGGAUUCCAUCGUGGAAUUCCCGGCUCUUCCCGCUUUUCCCGGCCCCUCCGGAAGCGGCGGCUCCGUGGAAUUCCCAACCCUCCAAAUCCCAUUUUUCCCAUUUCCCUCUCCCGCUUUUCCCGUUUUUCCUUGGAUUUUUUCCCCCAAUUCCCUCCUUUCCCCUCCCCCCCCGCUGGAAAUUCCGGAUUAUCCCAAAUAAACUUUUUUUGGAAUGCAGCAGGGCUGGAAUUUUCCUUGGAAAACCUCGGGAUCUUCGCGAAUUCCCGGGAAUUUCCCUUUCCCGGCGCUUCGGAUUCCCGGGAAAAACAACCCCAAAGGGAUUUUUCCCAUUUUUUCCCCGUUUUUAAGUGGGAAUUCCCCCAAAGCCGCUCCGGCAGCUCCGAGGUCCCGGAUGUUGCGUUCCCCAUCCCAAACUUUGGGAAUUCCUCCUUCCUCCUCUUCCUGCUUUUCCGUGGAUGUGGAGCGUUCCCGAUCCUGAUCCCAAUCCAAAUUCCCUUCCCGAUCCUGAUCCAAAUCCUGAUCCAAAUCCUGAUCCCAACUCCCUUCCCAAUCCCGAUCCUGAUCUCAAUCCUGAUCCCAAUCCAAAUUCCCUUCCCAAUCCUGAUCCAAAUCCUGAUCCAAAUCCUGAUCCCAAUUCCCUUCCCAAUCCCAAUCCUGAUCCAAAUCCUGAUCCAAAUCCUGAUCCAAAUUCCCUUCCCGAUCCCGAUCCAAAUCCUGAUCCAAAUCCUGAUCCUGAUCCCAAUUCCAAUCCCAAUCCUGAUCCUGAUCCCAUUCCCAGUCCUGAUCUCAAUCCUGAUCCUGAUCCUGAUCCCAAUCCAAAUUCCCUUCCCAAUCCUGAUCCAAAUCCUGAUCCCAAUCCCGAUCCUGAUCCCAUUCCCGAUCCCGAUCCUGUUCCCAUUCCCAAUCUCAAUCUCAAUCCUGAUCUUGAUCCCAUUCCCAAUCCCGAUCCCAAUCCCGAUCCUGAUCCCGAUCCUGAUCCAAAUCCCAAUUCCCAGUCCUGGUCUCAAUCCUGAUCUUGAUCCCAAUUCCCAUUCCCAAUCCUGA